Bos indicus x Bos taurus (hybrid cattle) is the source of this 2262-nucleotide long non-coding RNA. NCBI's taxonomy places the organism in Eukaryota, Metazoa, Chordata, Mammalia, Artiodactyla, Bovidae. The record is from Ensembl.
AUGGCAAGCCACCUGCUUCGGUUGGUGGCGGAAUUGACUCAAUCCCGUGUAGGCCUUUCACCGAGGACGCUCCGGAUCCUGAGCGAGAGGAACUACAGCACUGCACCCCCUCUGCCGCAGCCAGAUCACUUCGGGCACGGAGGAAGAGCAUGGGCAGCUGGCCCAGGACCCACCAUAUCACCUGAGCCAAGCAGGAGAGGCCCCUGCUCACCCUUGCAAAUGCGCUUGCCUUUGUCAGAUUGUGAGUUUGGAAGGAGAAGAAGCUGGGCAGAAAUCACCGAAACCCUCUUGGGUCCGCUCUCCCGUGUUGUAAAUCUCACGGAACAGGCCAUCUGGUCCAGGUCUGCCACAGUGGGCACAACCAGGCUCUCUAAAGCAGGAGGAAGCCAAGAAGGAGAUGCCUUCGGUCCUCUGCCCAUCACCUGCCAGAGAACCAGGAUGCUCGGUGGCAGUUGGCUUACCUUUUCCCAAACAGCCAUCUGUUGUCACAUCACUGUCAGCUGAGCCUGACUCUUCACUUGUGUCAGCCAGCUUCCAGAGUGUGCCGUGUGCCCAGAUCAGAUCAUCUCAGUCGCUCAGUCGUGUCCGACUCUUUGCGACCCCAUGAAUUGCAGCACGCCAGGCCUCCCUGUCCAUCACCAACUGCCGGAGUUCACUCAGACUCACGUCCAUCGAGUCAGUGAUGCCAUCCAGCCAUCUCAUCCUCUGUCGUCCCCUUCUCCUCCUGCCCCCAAUCCCUCCCAGCAUGAGUCUUUUCCAAUGAGUCAACUCUGCAACUUACUGUACCAAUUAUGCUUCAGUAAUAAUUUAUAUUACUGAAUAUAAUAUGCCAUUAUUAUGAAUAUAAUACAUGAAUAUAAUAAUAUUAUAUAAUAAUAUAAUGAAUAUAUGAAUAUAUAAUAUAAUAUAAUGAAUAUAAUAUAAUAUAUAAUAAUAUAAUAUAUGAAUAUAUGAAUAUAAUGAAUGUAAUAUGAAAUAUAAUAUAAUAAUAUGCCAUUUAAAAAGUUAAAGAAAACAUAUGCCAUAUCAGUCACAGGGAUUAGAUAUAUACCCUUGCCUUAGAUAACUAGAAAACCAGAAAAAGUAUAUGAAACAACCACGUACAACAUUGGACGACAGUCAAGGCAAGACUGUGAAGGGAAGCUAGCAAGGUGCCUCCUGUGAUGGCCCCAGCUCAUUGUCGAGAGAGAACUUGAAGCUGAUGAGCUUGUGGACUUGACAGAGUUCACAGUUGCUGGAGACCAAGGACAUUCACAUUUUCAGGGCAGAGUGCCAGAGAGAAGGGAGUUCUACACACAGAGAAAAACUCCAUUGUCUAUUAGAAACCUCAAGUCUUUGAUCUCUGAUCAUUGACUGCCCGUGUAAAAAUUCCUUGAGGCAAGAAAAAGAACCAUCUAAAAGGAGCAGAUGGGUCAAUUUCUGGAGUUUUUACAGGGCUGCAAAUUGUUGGCAUUCUCCCCAGCCAAAGUGCAGACCCUCUACCACAUGGGUUGUGUCCUCAGAAGGGUAUUCCCUUAAUCACAGUGCUAAAUUAGUCCUCGACUAAAUGUUGUUCUGGACAAAGUUGAAACGCAAGCCCUGAAAAGAUUAAACUGUUUCCAAGUAACUGUGAGCCAGAGCAAAGUCCAAUACUCUCUCCAGGAAUCAAGCAAAAUCUGAUACCUAAUAGUGUAAAAUGUCCAUUACCUAGCAUCCAAUAGAAAAUCACCAGGCGUGCCAAACAGCAGGAAAAUAUGACUUGUAACUGGGAGGGAAAAAAUAGAAAUAUGCCCAGAAAUGGCAGAGAUGAUGAAACUGGCAGGCAAAGACGUUAAAAUCGCUAUGAUAAAUCUUAUAAAUAUAUUCUAGGAUGUUAAAGGAAACCAUGAACUCAAUUAUGAGAGAAAUAGAAGAUACAAAAGAAAACUCAAGUGGAACAUCUGGAGGUGGAAAACACAAUAGCUGAAAAACAAAUUGUGAACAAAAAUCAUCGUCUCAUUGUUAGUGGAACUCACUUUGAGCCUGUCAAGUGAUCAUUGAAUCAUCUCUUCCUUGGAGACGCUUCCUUGGCUGGGACAAACUUAGUAUUCUGUGUUCUCACAGCGCUUCAGCCUCUUCUUCCAAGUACUUGCUGUGGUUGUAGUAUUUCCGCUAUCCAUGAGACUACGCGUUGCAUGUCUAUAAGGUCCAUGAGAGCAGGAGCGUGUUUUUGCUUACCUCUAUGCCAGUGCCUCAAGAAAAGCACUCAAUAAAUAUAUUUUGAAUGAAUGAAUGAAGGAGCUG